Molecule: long non-coding RNA, 235 nt
Filed under: Trifolium pratense (red clover)
Lineage: Eukaryota; Viridiplantae; Streptophyta; Magnoliopsida; Fabales; Fabaceae
Description: long non-coding RNA (TPRA_LNC010894)
Source: RNAcentral
UUCAACAGACCUUGAUGAAUCAUUCGGACAAGCUUAUCGUCAUCUACAACCAGCGCUGUUAAUUUCUCUGCAGAAUUUUCAGGUUCCAUCAGCCCUUUCCCUUUCUCUUGAUUUCCCAUUUUGUACAAAGCUCCUUAAAUGAGAUUGAUAGUUUCUUUUCUUGAUCUUCUCCAGAAUCUGAGACAAAAAGAUUGAAAUAUGAAUGAAUGAAUGAAUGGCUAGUUGUAAAUUACAA